This 460-nucleotide ribosomal RNA is filed under the name uncultured bacterium. RNAcentral describes it as "partial 16S ribosomal RNA". It matches the Rfam family "Bacterial small subunit ribosomal RNA", at positions 338 to 795 of the family's 1533-position model. The record is from RNAcentral.
CCUACGGGAGGCAGCAGUGAGGAAUAUUGGUCAAUGGACGAGAGUCUGAACCAGCCACGUAGCGUGAAGGAUGACUGCCCUAUGGGCUGUAAACUUCUUUUAUAAAGGAAUAAAACGAGGCACGUGUGCCUUUUUGCAUGUACUUUAUGAAUAAGGAUCGGCUAACUCCGUGCCAGCAGCCGCGGUAAUACGGAGGAUCCGAGCGUUAUCCGGAUUUAUUGGGGUUAAAGGGAGCGUAGAUGGGUUGUUAAGUCAGUUGUGAAAGUUUGCGGCUCAACCGUAAAAUUGCAAUUGAUACUGGCAGUCUUGAGUACAGUUGAGGUAGGCGGAAUGCGUGGUGUAGCGGUGAAAUGCUUAGAUAUCACGAAGAACCCCGAUUGCGAAGGCAGCUUACUAAACUGUGACUGACAUUGAUGCUCGAAAGUGUGGGUAUCAAACAGGAUUAGAUACCCCGGUAGUC